AAUUUUGGAGGUUUGUAUUUAAAACCAAGUGCAGGUACCCUUUAAGAACUUGUGCAAGUCCGUGUUAAAAGAAGCAUUCUGUGAAGCACACAAGGCUCUCCACACACUGUGGAACAGGCACUAGUCAGGUGAAAUUGAAGCAGGAUUUGCAAAGCAGGAUUUCACUUUAUGCCUGGGAUGAACUUGUCAAAUCCUGUCAACGCAACACUCGCAACACGCCCAACACGCCAGAGAGAGAGAGACGUAUUAAAGCCAGGCAUGUUCUCAGCUUGACCAAACUGUAAGGUACUGUGCACCACUACAGUCAAUCUACAUCUAGCAUCUGCCAUGCAUACAAUCACCUCUGUUUGCAAUAGAGGAAGGGGCACACAGCAAGCACGUGCCAGUCUCCACAAACCUGAGCAAAAGGAGUGCACACACCCCUCAGUUUGAGUGCACGGUUAAAACAGUAACAACUGCAGUGUUGACAUUGAGGAAAAUGUCAUGUCAUGUCUGGGCUACCCAGCAAGGCCGUUUGAGCUAAAGUUUUGAGCCGAGGUAUCUGGACGAAAUUCCUCGGCACACUGGACCCAAUCAAUUCCGAGAAAUGCGCAUCACGGCUAAUCAGCUUCGAGCAGUGCAUCUUCCCAAGAUGAAUCUCUCCCUGCUUCAUGGAGUCACAUUCCUCAGGUCAGCGACUCCUCACCAGCGCUUCCGGAAGAGGUCGUCAUUCGACCGACCCACAUCUACAGUUCCAAAGAUCGACAUAUACAUGUAUCUGGACAUUAAACUGAAACCUCUUGGCAACUGGAUGGCAAGGAGUAACGGGGAAAUUCCAAAGCACAAAAUCAGAUGUGCUCGUGUCCAAAACUAACCAUAAUGUACCAACUGCCGCCACUGUAGGCUGUAUUCAUGUGUAGCCAGGGUGAUCCAUUGAUCAAUAGCAAAACAGAAUAUGCAUACAUGUUCGUGCUUAUGCGGGUAAUUCCAGAA
Acanthaster planci (crown-of-thorns starfish) is the source of this 972-nucleotide long non-coding RNA. RefSeq lists it as uncharacterized. NCBI's taxonomy places the organism in Eukaryota, Metazoa, Echinodermata, Asteroidea, Valvatida, Acanthasteridae. The record is from RefSeq and is a predicted model, not a curated record.